UGAACAUCCACUUCUGUUUUUACCAGGCAC
RNAcentral lists this non-coding RNA (30 nucleotides) under Mus musculus (house mouse). The record is from RNAcentral. Lineage: Eukaryota; Metazoa; Chordata; Mammalia; Rodentia; Muridae.